UCUUAAGAAAACAUUCUAAGAUGUGUGU
Molecule: non-coding RNA, 28 nt
Filed under: Homo sapiens (human)
Lineage: Eukaryota; Metazoa; Chordata; Mammalia; Primates; Hominidae
Source: RNAcentral